GGGAAUUCAAGUAUUGAGAUGGAAAACAAAUAGCUUUAGACAAAUGAACAGGAUGUAAUAAGUGGAAUGAAUUGGCUAUAUGAAACACAAAGCGUGACUGUUGUUGCCAUGUAGUUAUCCAAGUGAUAGCUUUGUUUGCCUAUAAAAUAAGGAAAUCCAAAUGUCUUAGCUAGUUUUUUAAAUCCUCUGUCUCCAAUUCACAGCUACAACUCAUGUGCC
RNAcentral lists this unclassified non-coding RNA (219 nucleotides) under Hevea brasiliensis (rubber tree). The record is from RNAcentral. Lineage: Eukaryota; Viridiplantae; Streptophyta; Magnoliopsida; Malpighiales; Euphorbiaceae.